RNAcentral lists this ribosomal RNA (534 nucleotides) under uncultured archaeon. RNAcentral describes it as "bacterial SSU rRNA". It matches the Rfam family "Archaeal small subunit ribosomal RNA", at positions 462 to 997 of the family's 1478-position model. The record is from RNAcentral.
CAGCCGCGGUAACACGGCAGCUCUAGUGGUAGCAAUUUUAUUGGGCCUAAAGCGUCCGUAGCCGGUUUAAUAAGUCUCUGGUGAAAUCCUGCAGCUUAACUGUGGGAAUUGCUGGAGAUACUAUUAGACUUGAGACCGGGAGAGGUUAGAGGUACUCCCAGGGUAGAGGUGAAAUUCUGUAAUCCUGGGAGGACCGCCUGUUGCGAAGGCGUCUAACUGGAACGGUUCUGACGGUGAGGGACGAAAGUUAGGGGCGCGAACCGGAUUAGAUACCCGGGUAGUCCUAACUGUAGACGAUGCGGACUUGGUGUUGGGGUGGCUUUGAGCUGCUUCAGUGCCGAAGGGAAGCUGUUAAGUCCGCCGCCUGGGAAGUACGGUCGCAAGACUGAAACUUAAGGAAUUGGCGGGGGAGCACCACAACGCGUGGAGCCUGCCGGUUUAAUUGGAUUCAACGCCGGACAUCUCACCAGAGGCGACAGCUGUAUGAUAGCCAGGUUGAUGACUUUGCUUGACUAGCUGAGGAGUGGUGCAUGG